Non-coding RNA from Marasmius sp. AFHP31, 113 nucleotides. Lineage: Eukaryota; Fungi; Basidiomycota; Agaricomycetes; Agaricales; Marasmiaceae. The record is from the annotation of a GenBank genome assembly.
GGCGCUAUAGCCAAGUGGUUACGGCGACAGAUUAGAAUGUCAACGUCCAGGUGAUUGGAUUGAGAUCUAUCUGUUCCUCUUUGAGGGCGCAGGUUCAAAUCCUGCUGGCGUCG